GCUCCGCUCUGCCUUGCUCGGCCCCUCCCGACGCUGCCCGCCGCUUCGCUCUGCCCCGCCCCUCCCGUCGCUCUGCUCUACCGCCACGUCCCGCCCCUCCCGCCGCUUCGCUCGCAUCAUAGAAGGAGGCGGCAUGAAGAUGAGGUGUGGCGCGUGCUACUUCCUCUCUCUCCCCAAGGCGUUGCCAUCCCCAAGCCACUGUGGAUCUCGCGCUACUCCCUUUCUCUGGAAUGAUCCAAUUGGAUUUCGAGCUAAAAUGGUUUCUUUGAUCACUGGAUCGAUGCAUCAGAUUUAUGCAUGACAUGAGUUUUUGCAGAUCUUGAAUGCGAGAGAGCCAGCGUCAAUUUUACAAGGUAUAAGAUGAAGAAAGCAAGAAGGGGACUCUGACGGAACUUUUGAUCAUCAAGUAUAUAGUCGGUUCAUUGUGAGACUAACUGAACUCGGCUGCCAUCAUUCAUUUGGCACCCGUUUAAUUACUUGCAGCGUGAUUCUUGGACAAGUUCGACGUGGUUGUUGUUCCACUGACUAAAUGCUGAGUGCAUUUUUCAGUCAGUCCCCAGUCCACACAAACAAAUACAGUACGUGAAUAGUCGUAGAAGAAGCACAUGGUUGUCUAUGUAUUAUCAUUUCUCCGAUCACAUGGGUGUAGUAAUCACACAAACAUAACGUGAAUCUUGCUACGAAUUAUUGGUGAGUGUUUGGUUUUUCUUGGAAUUAUGUAGUAUGUAAUUUAUUUGUUCUGUUAAUCUAUAAUUUUCAUAAUUAUUUGUGAUUUUCUUGGCCAUUUUUGUAUUUAUUUAAGAAUUUUGUGGAUUCUUUUUACAAAUUGGAAAUUUGGAGCUUCUAUGAGUUUAGAAUUCAUCACAGAUAUCUAUGGCGAAAAUCUGUAUGACACUUACCAAACAUUACUCCUAUAUUCUAUUGAUAUUUCACUAUUUGGGGUAUUAUCCCCCCUUCCUUGUUUACCAUUCUUAUCAUAAAGGUAUGCUCCCUAUCGGAUGUUCUUUUGCCCAUCCUGCUUCCGUCGCCGCGCUGCUGGGUGUUCUUGUUCGUUGUUGCUGUGCUCAGUGACAUAGCCGUUGCUGAAAUAUACCCUGACACAGCCGUCACCAUAUCUUACAGGGGAUGAGGACGUGAGGAGAGAAAAGGGAUUCAGAUCAUUGCUGGAUGAGGUGCUGGCGGCGGUGGCAGUUACAGAAAUCGGAGAGGAGGGAGAGAGCAAGGCUCAGUAAUGCUUUCCUAGCUGUUGUUGCUAUUGUUCGAAGAAGGGACAGUGCUUCUUUUUGUGGAUUUGUACGAACAAGAUUAGUCAAAUUUAGCGUUCCUGGUUCAUUACAUUUAGCUUCGGUCAUGUCUGAAUGCAAGUUGAUGGAUGAUUCACUAGAUUCAUGCUCUUCCCACACCAUGUCGCGGUCAACCUCGGCUCCAGGAUGACAAGAGCAUCAACCAUCUAAACAGUAAAAUACUAACCGGCAUGAGACCACAAAAUAUAUAUGUGCCCUCAAGAACAACGACGUUGAGUCCUCCAGUGCAUGCUUUCUCUUUUGAUUGAUACUCGGUAUGAACUAUGAAGAUGGACAAACUUUCUCUUUUGAUUAGUAAGUGCGAUACAUGGAGAUAUUGGACCAAACAGCUGCAGCAACGGAGAUAAAAAUGGGGACAUGUCAACGAGUUCAAUUUGUUGACAAGGUAUAAGACAGGACAAGACAUGGCCUCUGCGGAUUGAGCUUGUGAGGAAGCAAGGAAGUACGGAGCCAUCAAUGGGCUCUUCGACGAGAUGACGAAAGGCGGCAAGCUUCUCUACAAUAAAUAACUUAUCUCCAGGAACGAAGGGAGUACAUGCUUUGGAAGGUGGUCAUUAGGCAAUCCAAGAUUUUGCUCACCGUGCAUCAACCACCAAAUCAUGUGUCUUCCUUGGAUGCAUAUGACGAUCUCCCAACCAACAAGCCACUAAAUGGGUUGCCUCGUGAAGUUGCAAUAGAGAAAAUUGUUGUAUAAUUGAGAUCAUCAUGUGUUCAUAAUAUAUUUUGUGGUAGCAACUGAACCAAGGAUGGAUGCUCUUGGAAAGUUUAUUUGCAAUAUAAACCAUUUGGUUUGCAAACACACCUGCUAAAACGUAGAUUGCUCUUUUUCUUAAAAUCUUAAACCUACUAUGUAAACCAGUUCUCAUUUGUAUUAUAUGUGAGUUCCAUCUGGAUUACAUCAGAAUUUAGUGACAUAGAAAUCAUAAUUGAUUUAUUCACUCUUUGAUUGUGACAUAGUACAUUUGAUUGUUCUGGUAUUCUAUUUUAUGUUAUUUGAUUUUAUCAACCUAAUCCAAUCUUCCUUUUGCAGAUUAUUUACUAAAGAAAAUGGUUUGGGGUGAAGAGUUGAAAGGCCUGCAUCAAAUGCUGCUAAUCAUGAAGGUGACCCGCACAACUCCUGUGAAACAAAGCCAACACUAUGUGGCAAGAUUGAAGAUCACAGAUAUGUUUACUUUGCUCCAUGGUCAUAUAGCAGUGUAUUGCUUCAUGCAUGCACUUUUUAUCAUUCAUCUUUUUUAUUUAAAUCUCUAUAUGGUCGUCAUAUAUGCUAUUAGAGGGAUUUCUCACUAUUUUUUAUGUGUUGUUGUAAACAGAACUUUCUCUGUACUAAUAGAUAUGUGUUCUUGUUCUUUUAAUUAUCUCUUUUUAGAUUGGUCGGGCUUUCUAGAUCAGAAGAAAUUUAUUUAGAUUGGCCUUUGGGUUUCAGAAAAUUCAGAAGAAGUUUCAUUCUAAAGAACACAUCUGAAGUUUGUGUAACAUGAGACCAGUCACUAUGUUUACGUUUGUUAAUCGAGUAUUUAGUGUUUUGCA
Long non-coding RNA from Hordeum vulgare subsp. vulgare (domesticated barley), 2834 nucleotides. RefSeq lists it as uncharacterized. NCBI's taxonomy places the organism in Eukaryota, Viridiplantae, Streptophyta, Magnoliopsida, Poales, Poaceae. The record is from RefSeq and is a predicted model, not a curated record. The transcript is spliced from 7 exons.